RNAcentral lists this ribosomal RNA (466 nucleotides) under uncultured bacterium. RNAcentral's name for it is "bacterial SSU rRNA". It matches the Rfam family "Bacterial small subunit ribosomal RNA", at positions 33 to 518 of the family's 1533-position model. The record is from RNAcentral.
ACGCUGGCGGCGUGCCUAACACAUGCAAGUCGAGCGAUGAAGUUCUUCGGAACGGAUUAGCGGCGGACGGGUGAGUAACACGUGGGUAACCUGCCUUGUAGAGGGGGAUAGCCUUCCGAAAGGAAGAUUAAUACCGCAUAACAUCUUUUUAUCGCAUGGUAGAAAGAUCAAAGGAGUAAUCCGCUACAAGAUGGACCCGCGGCGCAUUAGCUAGUUGGUGAGGUAACGGCUCACCAAGGCGACGAUGCGUAGCCGACCUGAGAGGGUGAUCGGCCACAUUGGAACUGAGACACGGUCCAGACUCCUACGGGAGGCAGCAGUGGGGAAUAUUGCGCAAUGGGGGAAACCCUGACGCAGCAACGCCGCGUGAAUGAAGAAGGCCUUAGGGUUGUAAAGUUCUGUUUACGGGGACGAUAAUGACGGUACCCGUGGAGGAAGCCACGGCUAACUACGUGCCAGCAGCUGC